GAGUUCAAGGACUCAAAUACCGAGUUACUGGUGCCGAGUUUGGUAAACCCAUUUCCUGCUAAGGUUAUGCCUUUUGCGAUAUUGAGCAGAGAGUUUCCUUUUCUACUUAACAAUGCGAGGAGGUUCAGAGAAACAAAGGGUAUUAUGAUAAAUACAUUUUUGGAGCUCGAAUCCCAUGCGAUCGAGUCUUUCAAAAUGCUUCCCGUUUACCCUGUGGGACCUAUUUUGCAUUUGGGGUCGGAUGGAGCAAACGCUCACCAAGAAAUCAUGCAGUGGCUAGAUGAUCAGCCUCCAUCAUCAGUAGUGUUCUUGUGCUUCGGGAGCAUGGGAAGU
RNAcentral lists this unclassified non-coding RNA (333 nucleotides) under Hevea brasiliensis (rubber tree). Lineage: Eukaryota; Viridiplantae; Streptophyta; Magnoliopsida; Malpighiales; Euphorbiaceae. The record is from RNAcentral.